This 340-nucleotide long non-coding RNA is filed under the name Panax ginseng (ginseng). RNAcentral's name for it is "long non-coding RNA (PGIN_LNC012886)". The record is from RNAcentral. Lineage: Eukaryota; Viridiplantae; Streptophyta; Magnoliopsida; Apiales; Araliaceae.
AGGGAAAUUUGAAAGAUACAACUUUUAUAAGAACAUAUUCCCUAGCUAGCUGGCUAUAUAUUUGACUGAUUAUUAAUUAUGAAGAAAAAAAACUUCGCUUCUUCUUUCCCUUCUUCUAGGAUUCAUAAUGCUUUUUAGGAUAUUGAAAAAAAAGUUCACAAAAAAAAUUGCGUUAUUAUAUAAAUUGUACGAACAUAGUAAGACAUUUCAAUAUAUACCUAUGCAUGCAUUUCAUCAUCUAUAUAUAAAUUUACAGAAUGCGUAUAUAUAUAUAUAUAGCCUCUUUCAUGGUUCAGAUUCAAUUAAUUAUAUUAAUUGAUUUAAUUCAAAAGAGCCUAAC